UACAGAGGGUGCGAGCGUUAAUCGGAAUGACUGGGCGUAAAGGGCGCGUAGGCGGAUAUUUGUGUUGGAUGUGAAAGCCCCGGGCUUAACCUGGGAAUGGCAUACAAAACUGGAUAUCUAGAGUAGAGCAGAGGUGAGUGGAAUUUCCGGAGUAGCGGUGAAAUGCGUAGAUACCGGAAGGAACACCAGUGGCGAAGGCGGCUCACUGGGCUCAAACUGACGCUGAGGCGCGAAAGCGUGGGGAGCAAACAGG
This 253-nucleotide ribosomal RNA is filed under the name uncultured bacterium. RNAcentral describes it as "partial 16S ribosomal RNA". It matches the Rfam family "Bacterial small subunit ribosomal RNA", at positions 524 to 776 of the family's 1533-position model. The record is from RNAcentral.